GAUGAACGCUGGCGGCGUGCCUAAUACAUGCAAGUCGAGCGAACGGACGAGAAGCUUGCUUUUCUGAUGUUAGCGGCGGACGGGUGAGUAACACGUGGAUAACCUACCUAUAUGACUUGGAUAACUUCGUGAAACCGGAGCUAAUACCGGAUAAUAUUUUGAACCGCAUGGUUCAAAAGUGAAAGACGGUCUUGCUGUCACUUAUAGAUGGAUCCGCGCUGCAUUAGCUAGUUGGUAAGGUAAAGGCUUACCAAGGCAACGAUGCGUAGCCGACCUGAGAGGGGGGAAAGGCAAACGGGAAAGGGGAAAAGGGCCAGAACCCUAAGGGAGGGAGGAGGGGGGAAAAUUGGAGAAAGGGGGGAAGGCUGAACGAGACAAAACGAGGGGGGGAAGAAGGGUUUCGGGUAUGAAAAACUGUUUUAUGGGGAAAAAAAAAAGGAGGAAGAAAACGCGAAGUUCUGAAGGUAACCAAAGAAAAAAGACAGGCUAAAUUAGGG
RNAcentral lists this ribosomal RNA (497 nucleotides) under uncultured bacterium. Its description in RNAcentral is "partial 16S ribosomal RNA". The stretch from base 20 to 374 matches the Rfam family "Bacterial small subunit ribosomal RNA", at positions 47 to 391 of the family's 1533-position model. The record is from RNAcentral.